UUCUCUUGCACGUACGGCGAAAAACAAUUAUUCAGUCUCAGCAAUGCAGGAGUUCGCUGCAGUGGAACGCUUUUUGCUUGCGAGAAGGAAUUGUAAUUUGUUGGUUACAACUUUCGAGUCACGAAUCGACACACGGUUUCAGCCCAGAAACGAGUCAAACGCUGAUGUGGCAGGUGUUUCUUCCUUGGCAAGCUAAAGAGCAUCGGUUCUAUUCAGUGAGUGAGUCCCUGGCAUCACAGCCUCAUCGAACUACAGCCAAGGCACAGUGAAAAAUUUUCGUUGAAAAUUUCAGUUUAAAAACUUUUCACACUCCUUUCACUUAGCCACGAACUACUAACGGAACUUUCACAGCAGUUAAAUAAUUGCAGCGGCCAAGCCGUUCGACUGCAGCUUAGCUACAUCUGCGUUACAGAGACUGACGAAUUAUGGUUUUCACAGCACGUGCAAGGGGAACACCCCUAAGUAGUGAAGUACAGUCUGGACAAUGAACUUUGUUCCAGUUCACGUAACGAGGAGAGCAACACAUUCGUCGUGCGGAGAGCACGCCUGAAAACAAAAGUUCAGUAAGAUACCGCGUUUUCCGUUUCACACGUCCCCCACUACAGGAGUCUUAUUAUCCUAAGAUUUCGCCUUGAAAUGUCCCAGGAGUCCAACACAAGGUGGACAAACGGGGAAUUUCAUCGCCAGAGGCGACACUCUACCUCAUUGCUGAUGUGGGGAAUGAAAUAGUGAGCCCCUUCACAACAAGGAACCAAGUCCUACGGUGUCCGGAAAGUUCCAGUUUGAUAUGCAACGUUUAUUUGGACUCAUUCGGACUGUUCACAGGACAAAGCCGGUGCAAUGUUCAUCCAGGCCAUGCCCCCAAACUUGGAAAGCUGCGCAAAUACCAACCUACUGUGCCCUCUUCAGAGGAGACACCAAGCUCGAAUGCAACACCUGGUACAACAACGGGACAAUCUCAAGCUCCCCAGAAAAAGAAGAGGAGCCACUCCCCUCAACACAUAAGCGCAUAGCAAUGCUCCAGAGAAAAGUCAACCAAUACCGCAAGGCCUUGAACCGGAUAAAGUUGAAGGAACAACGGACCAACAUCACGAAACAAGAUGCACUUAUAGUAAUGAAACGGUUCAUCCCCCCAGAUGCGUACACACUGCUGUCUGCACGGAUACACCUUUCUGUGAAAAAACAUUGCAAGAGAUGGUCAGAAGACAUGAAAAAGUUCGCAAUGAAACUGUACUUUCAUAGCCCGAAGGCAUACAGUUUCAAGCUGUACUUUACAGCUUUUUACUUUACACUUUACAGCCUCCACACGUGAUUGGUGAAAUAAAAAAUGGAUUGAAUUCAUAGUACGUGUCAUGAAGGAGCCGUCUGUGCUGAGUAUUAGAAGGUAGCUCUCAAAUAUAAACACGAGUCCUGGA
This is a long non-coding RNA of Ornithodoros turicata, 1415 nucleotides long. RefSeq lists it as uncharacterized. NCBI's taxonomy places the organism in Eukaryota, Metazoa, Arthropoda, Arachnida, Ixodida, Argasidae. The record is from RefSeq and is a predicted model, not a curated record. The transcript has 6 exons.